This 252-nucleotide ribosomal RNA is filed under the name uncultured bacterium. RNAcentral describes it as "partial 16S ribosomal RNA". It matches the Rfam family "Bacterial small subunit ribosomal RNA", at positions 524 to 776 of the family's 1533-position model. The record is from RNAcentral.
UACGGGGGGGGCAAGCGUUGCUCGGAAUCACUGGGCGUAAAGGGCGCGUAGGCGGCCAUUCAAGUCGGGGUGAAAGCCUGUGGCUCAACCACAGAAUUGCCUUCGAUACUGUUUGGCUUGAGACCGGAAGAGGUAAGUGGAACUGCGAGUGUAGAGGUGAAAUUCGUAGAUAUUCGCAAGAACACCAGUGGCGAAGGCGGCCCUCUGGCUCGACCCUGACGCUGAGGCGCGAAAGCGUGGGGAGCGAACGGG